This 253-nucleotide ribosomal RNA is filed under the name uncultured bacterium. RNAcentral's name for it is "partial 16S ribosomal RNA". It matches the Rfam family "Bacterial small subunit ribosomal RNA", at positions 524 to 776 of the family's 1533-position model. The record is from RNAcentral.
UACGUAGGUGGCAAGCGUUGUCCGGAUUUACUGGGCGUAAAGGAUGCGUAGGCGGACAUUUAAGUCAGAUGUGAAAUACCCGAGCUUAACUUGGGUGCUGCAUUUGAAACUGGGUGUCUAGAGUGCAGGAGAGGUAAGUGGAAUUCCUAGUGUAGCGGUGAAAUGCGUAGAGAUUAGGAAGAACACCAGUGGCGAAGGCGACUUACUGGACUGCAACUGACACUGAGAAACGAAAGCCAGGGGAGCAAACGGG